Molecule: ribosomal RNA, 722 nt
Filed under: fungal sp.
Lineage: Eukaryota; Fungi
Description: eukaryotic LSU rRNA
Rfam family: Eukaryotic large subunit ribosomal RNA (bases 489-722)
Source: RNAcentral
CAUUACACAAAUAUGAAGGCGGGCUGGAACCUCUCGGGGUUACAGCCUUGCUGAAUUAUUCACCCUUGUCUUUUGCGUACUUCUUGUUUCCUUGGUGGGUUCGCCCACCACUAGGACAAACAUAAACCUUUUGUAAUUGCAAUCAGCGUCAGUAACAAAUUAAUAAUUACAACUUUCAACAACGGAUCUCUUGGUUCUGGCAUCGAUGAAGAACGCAGCGAAAUGCGAUAAGUAGUGUGAAUUGCAGAAUUCAGUGAAUCAUCGAAUCUUUGAACGCACAUUGCGCCCUUUGGUAUUCCAAAGGGCAUGCCUGUUCGAGCGUCAUUUGUACCCUCAAGCUUUGCUUGGUGUUGGGCGUCUUGUCUCUAGCUUUGCUGGAGACUCGCCUUAAAGUAAUUGGCAGCCGGCCUACUGGUUUCGGAGCGCAGCACAAGUCGCACUCUCUAUCAGCAAAGGUCUAGCAUCCAUUAAGCCUUUUUUUCAACUUUUGACCUCGGAUCAGGUAGGGAUACCCGCUGAACUUAAGCAUAUCAAUAAGCGGAGGAAAAGAAACCAACAGGGAUUGCCCUAGUAACGGCGAGUGAAGCGGCAACAGCUCAAUUUGAAAUCUGGCUCUUUUAGAGUCCGAGUUGUAAUUUGCAGAGGGCGCUUUGGCUUUGGCAGCGGUCCAAGUUCCUUGGAACAGGACGUCACAGAGGGUGAGAAUCCCGUACGUGGUCGCU